This 46-nucleotide non-coding RNA is filed under the name Schistosoma haematobium. The record is from RNAcentral. Lineage: Eukaryota; Metazoa; Platyhelminthes; Trematoda; Strigeidida; Schistosomatidae.
GCACUGCUGAUGAGUCCCAUAUUAGGACGAAACAGCUGUCCAGUAG